RNAcentral lists this ribosomal RNA (253 nucleotides) under uncultured bacterium. RNAcentral describes it as "partial 16S ribosomal RNA". It matches the Rfam family "Bacterial small subunit ribosomal RNA", at positions 524 to 776 of the family's 1533-position model. The record is from RNAcentral.
UACGGAGGGUGCAAGCGUUAUCCGGAUUCACUGGGGUUAAAGGGUGCGUAGGUGGGCUAGUAAGUCCGUGGUGAAAUCCCCGAGCUUAACUCGGGAACUGCCGUGGAUACUAUUAGUCUUGAAUAUCGUGGAGGUAAGCGGAAUAUGUCAUGUAGCGGUGAAAUGCUUAGAUAUGACAUAGAACACCGAUAGCGGAGGCAGCUUACUACGCGAUUAUUGACACUGAGGCACGAAAGCGUGGGGAUCAAACAGG